Triticum urartu is the source of this 530-nucleotide non-coding RNA. The record is from RefSeq and is a predicted model, not a curated record. Lineage: Eukaryota; Viridiplantae; Streptophyta; Magnoliopsida; Poales; Poaceae.
GAACUUCGCCAAACUUCCGAUGGGCGUCGUGGGCGCCACAGACAUGCAGUUCAAAGGCAGAGUUCAGUUAACUCAAGCUAUUACAAUUCACUCAGUCGUGGCGUCUCUAGGGGCAGCGGAAGAACCGUGGGUGUGAUCCGUGAGCACAGACGCGCAGAUCUGUGGGGAAGCAACAUGUAGACAUGGAUGGAAGAUGGGAGACCUAGCUCUAGCUGCCUGAGCUGUCCACCGGCAAGAUGAACCCACAAGCGCCAUGGUGGACAAAGAGUUAUCUGGCCAUACAUUUUUUUUGUAACAACGCGCUGUCGGUGGCGGCAACAGUUCAGUGCGGCGAGACGGCCGGUGUGUGCGCUGGGGCACUGGCGAGACUCCCUGACAGGCAUAUUCUGGUGACUACUUGUGUUCUCGUGAAAUCCAUCCUCUGAUUACAUUGUUUCGGCAUGUUUAGCUGGAAGGAACCACUACCAUGUCCACCCAAAAAAGGGAAGACAACAUUAGGGAGUUCUAUGGUAACUAAACAAACGUCCUGC